Molecule: ribosomal RNA, 468 nt
Filed under: uncultured bacterium
Lineage: Bacteria
Description: partial 16S ribosomal RNA
Rfam family: Bacterial small subunit ribosomal RNA
Source: RNAcentral
GACGAACGCUGGCGGCGUGCUUAACACAUGCAAGUCGAACGGAAAGGCCCUGCUUUUGUGGGGUGCUCGAGUGGCGAACGGGUGAGUAACACGUGAGUAACCUGCCCUUGACUUUGGGAUAACUUCAGGAAACUGGGGCUAAUACCGGAUAGGAGCUCCUGCUGCAUGGUGGGGGUUGGAAAGUUUCGGCGGUUGGGGAUGGACUCGCGGCUUAUCAGCUUGUUGGUGGGGUAGUGGCUUACCAAGGCUUUGACGGGUAGCCGGCCUGAGAGGGUGACCGGCCACAGUGGGACUGAGAUACGGCCCAGACUGCUACGGGAGGAAGCAGUGGGGAAUAGUGCAAAAUGGGCGGAAGCCGGAUGCAGCAACGCCGCGUGCGGGAUGACGGCCUUCGGGUUGUAAACCGCUUGCGCCUGUGAAGAAGAGUGAGUGACGGUAAUGGGUAAAGAAGCACCGGCUAACUACGUG